GAUGAAGAACGUAGCGAAAUGCGAUAAGUAAUGUGAAUUGCAGAAUUCAGUGAGUCAUCGAAUCUUUGAACGCACAUUGCGCCCUUUGGCAUUCCGAAGGGCAUGCCUGUUCGAGCGUCAUUUAUCAACCCUCAAGCCCGGCUUGCGGUUGGGUCCCGCCGUGGGCGACCACGGCGGACCCGAAAGGUAAUGGCGGUGCCCGUGGGGCCCUGGACGCAGCGAGCUUCUCGGCACGCGUCCCGGCGGUCCCCGGCGCCGUCUCCACCAAUCCACCACGCAGAUUGACCUCGGAUCAGGUAGGGAUACCCGCUGAACUUAAGCAUAUCAAUAAGCGGAGGA
Molecule: unclassified non-coding RNA, 339 nt
Filed under: soil metagenome
Description: partial contains 5.8S ribosomal RNA, internal transcribed spacer 2, and large subunit ribosomal RNA
Rfam family: 5.8S ribosomal RNA (bases 1-120)
Source: RNAcentral